RNAcentral lists this long non-coding RNA (1480 nucleotides) under Canis lupus familiaris (dog). RNAcentral's name for it is "lncRNA (ENSCAFG00000051213.1)". Lineage: Eukaryota; Metazoa; Chordata; Mammalia; Carnivora; Canidae. The record is from RNAcentral.
GGACCUGCUGGCGCACCUGGAGCCCACCUGCGCCGCCAUGGAGGCCGCGGUGCGCGCGGGCGGCGCCUGCCUGGUCUACUGCAAGAACGGCCGCAGCCGCUCGGCCGCCGUCUGCACCGCCUACCUCAUGCGGCACCGCGGCCUCAGCCUGGCGCGGGCCUUCCAGGCGGUGAAGAGCGCCCGUCCGGUGGCCGAGCCCAACCCGGGUUUCUGGUCUCAGCUGCAGCAGUACGAGGCGACCCUGCAGUCCCUGCCCCAGCCGUCGCCGACCGGGGAGCCCUCGGGACAGGGCUCCCGAACCGGAGAUGAGCCCCAGAGUGAGCCCUAGACCUUCACCCCUCGCGGAGGACCCCACCCGAGCAGGGCGCAUGGAGCUGGAGGUAGUUGCAGCGCUGACUGGAGGGGGUUUUCUGCUUCUUUACUGUUGCACAGUUUUCAUUUUCUGCUUCUUCCGGACAUGCAGCUCGAGUAUUUCUGUCUCCAUGGACGGACUGCAGGAGUGUGUCCCCCGAGGGCACUGGAAGCAUCCCUUCCCUGGUCAGGUUUACCAGACAGGCCUUGGUCAGGAAAAUCAAAACCACUUGAGGACUUUUAGGCAGGAAAGUAUUCAAUCCGGAGAGCAAGGCCAGGGAGCCAGGAGAUGGGGAUGUCCCGGAGACCCACCCCGCCCCAUCCUGGCUGCCUGCCUCCUGCUCCAGCCAUCGGGCUUUCCCCAAACCUCACAGUGGUCCCUUCUAGAGUCGGGCCUGGGACCCAGACUUGUAACUACUGCAACACACAGGCCAGGAUGUGAGGCUGCCUCAUGCCAGCCUGGCAUGGGUGCCCUUGGGGCUCUCCACGCCUGUGCCUUGCUGCCCUCCCAGUCUCAACAACAGCACCCACCCCGGCUUAGCAUCCUGCAGCCCCGGUCAUGUCAGAGAUGCACCGGCCCCUGUAUGUCUGAGCGUGUUGAUUCCUCUCCUGGUCCAGACACCCCUCCCCUGCAUCCUACGGCCUAGAGACUGUACUAGAUUCAUCAGCAUCAACACCCCUUAAACAAGGUAGCAGAAGGGGAAAAAAGAGAAACUGGGUUAUACUGUGAAUUACAGGUAGUACAGCCCCUGGUUAAUAGGUACUACUCUAUACAUAACAGGGCAAUUAAUAAAAUAUCAUAAUUAGUGCUUAAUAUUUCCCGUUCUUUCCAGCCAGCACCUCGCUGAGCCUGGCCUUUCCUGGUGAGGUGACCUGAGCCACCUCCUGAAGGGCCCUGAGCAGCCCUGUGGCCUCCAGCUCCUCCACCUCCUCUCAGCCCCACUGAUCGGCAGCCACGCCCCGGGGCUCCUUGAAAGUCAGGAUCACUCACUGCACCCAGCACAGCAGCCCCGACUUGCCUGUUGCCUUAGCGGCCCGAGGGGCCCAACAUGGUCAGGGUGUCUCAGCCUGCCGUCCAGGGGAACACGCGUGUCCCCGGUAGAAGCAUCUUACCUGGGAACCGAACCUC